CCUGAUAGCUCAGUAGGUAAAGAAUCUGCUUGCAAUGCAGGAGGCCCUGGUUCGAUUCCUGGGUCAGGA
Molecule: transfer RNA, 69 nt
Filed under: Bos taurus (domestic cattle)
Lineage: Eukaryota; Metazoa; Chordata; Mammalia; Artiodactyla; Bovidae
Rfam family: tRNA
About the family: Transfer RNA (tRNA) molecules are approximately 80 nucleotides in length. Their secondary structure includes four short double-helical elements and three loops (D, anti-codon, and T loops).
Source: Rfam by way of RNAcentral